AGCUCCAAUAGCGUAUAUUAAAGUUGUUGCAGUUAAAAAGCUCGUAGUUGGAUUUGUGGUUCGUCCUGCCGGCUGGGUCUUUGACUUUUGCUGUGCUGGUCGUCCAUCCUUGGGUGGAAUCUGUGUGGCAUUAGGUUGUCGCGCAGGGGAUGCCCAUCGUUUACUGUGAAAAAAUUAGAGUGUUCAAAGCAGGCUUAUGCCGUUGAAUAUAUUAGCAUGGAAUAAUGAUAUAGGACCUUGGUACUAUUUUGUUGGUUUACGCACUGAGGUAAUGAUUAAUAGGGACAGUUGGGGGUAUUCGUAUUCCAUUGUAAGAGGUGAAAUUCUUGGAUUUUUGGAAGACGAACUACUGCGAAAGCAUUUACCAAGGAUGUUUUCAUUAAUCAAGAACGAAAGUAGG
RNAcentral lists this ribosomal RNA (400 nucleotides) under phytoplankton environmental sample. Its description in RNAcentral is "partial small subunit ribosomal RNA". It matches the Rfam family "Eukaryotic small subunit ribosomal RNA", at positions 587 to 993 of the family's 1831-position model. The record is from RNAcentral.